RNAcentral lists this ribosomal RNA (311 nucleotides) under uncultured eukaryote. Its description in RNAcentral is "partial 18S ribosomal RNA". It matches the Rfam family "Eukaryotic small subunit ribosomal RNA", at positions 1470 to 1796 of the family's 1831-position model. The record is from RNAcentral.
CCCCUAGACGUUCUGGGCUGCACGCGCGCUACAAUAAUACGCACAGCGAGUAUCACCGAGCUCGAAAGGGCAAGGUAAACAAUAGAAAAGGUACUGUAAUGGUUAUAGAUCCUUGUAAUUAUUGAUCUUCAACGAGGAAUUCCUAGUAAGUAUGUGUCAUCAUCACGCACUGAUUACGUCCCUGCCCUUUGUACACACCGCCCGUCGCUCCUACCGAUUGGGUGAGCCGAUGAAACUCGCGGAUGUAGGCUAUUCAUAGCCCGCAGAAGAGAUUUGAAUCGUAGCGCUUAGAGGAAGGAGAAGUCGUAACA